AAUGCUAGUUGUAAAUUUUUUCUUCAAGUUUACUUAAAUCAAUGGUCUAUUCCUUUAAAUUUACUUCAGGUUCUUGAAAUGGUAGAGCUAAGCAUGUGAUGUAGCUUGAUCCUUGAGGUUUUGUUUCUAUUUUAUUGUCAUGUUAAUAGCGGUAGUGGUAUACUCUUCUUUUUAGGGUUUCCCUCAAUUAUUUUGUUUUUCCUUUUCUAUUGAUUGAGGUCUCACUUUUAAUUCUAUCAAUUGUAACAACACAUUCCAAUUUCAUCACUUGUGAUCAGUAUUGUACUUGUUUUAUUUUGAAUUCCCCAAUUUAGAAUUCGCAUUAAGAAUGUUUUUGUGAUUUUUGUCCAGGUUUAGGCAGUUGAAAUAGGAUUAGCUUUUUCAAAUGGAGGACAAUGAACUUGAUUUCUCGCCUCUGGUCUGUGUUCAUCUUCUAGCUGCUAAGUUUGCGUUCAUCUUCCUCCAUGUUGGGUUUGCGUUCAUAGCUGUCCUCGAUGGGUGUAUCUCCUUGUCGAGAUGGAUACU
This 525-nucleotide long non-coding RNA is filed under the name Trifolium pratense (red clover). RNAcentral describes it as "long non-coding RNA (TPRA_LNC011189)". The record is from RNAcentral. Lineage: Eukaryota; Viridiplantae; Streptophyta; Magnoliopsida; Fabales; Fabaceae.